This 731-nucleotide ribosomal RNA is filed under the name uncultured bacterium. Its description in RNAcentral is "bacterial SSU rRNA". It matches the Rfam family "Bacterial small subunit ribosomal RNA", at positions 68 to 793 of the family's 1533-position model. The record is from RNAcentral.
GGGGAAGGGUAGCUUGCUACCUAACCUAGCGGCGGACGGGUGAGUAAUGCUUAGGAAUCUGCCUAUUAGUGGGGGACAACAUUCCGAAAGGAAUGCUAAUACCGCAUACGCCCUACGGGGGAAAGCAGGGGAUCUUCGGACCUUGCGCUAAUAGAUGAGCCUAAGUCAGAUUAGCUAGUUGGUGGGGUAAAGGCCUACCAAGGCGACGAUCUGUAGCGGGUCUGAGAGGAUGAUCCGCCACACUGGGACUGAGACACGGCCCAGACUCCUACGGGAGGCAGCAGUGGGGAAUAUUGGACAAUGGGCGCAAGCCUGAUCCAGCCAUGCCGCGUGUGUGAAGAAGGCCUUUUGGUUGUAAAGCACUUUAAGCGAGGAGGAGGCUACCGAGAUUAAUACUCUAGGAUAGUGGACGUUACUCGCAGAAUAAGCACCGGCUAACUCUGUGCCAGCAGCCGCGGUAAUACAGAGGGUGCGAGCGUUAAUCGGAUUUACUGGGCGUAAAGCGUGCGUAGGCGGCUUUUUAAGUCGGAUGUGAAAUCCCUGAGCUUAACUUAGGAAUUGCAUUCGAUACUGGGAAGCUAGAGUAUGGGAGAGGAUGGUAGAAUUCCAGGUGUAGCGGUGAAAUGCGUAGAGAUCUGGAGGAAUACCGAUGGCGAAGGCAGCCAUCUGGCCUAAUACUGACGCUGAGGUACGAAAGCAUGGGGAGCAAACAGGAUUAGAUACCCUGGUAG